GACGAACGCUGGCGGCGUGCUUAACACAUGCAAGUCGAACGCUGAAGACCUGGCUUUUGUUGGGUUGGAUGAGUGGCGAACGGGUGAGUAACACGUGAGUAACCUGCCCUCUUCUUUGGGAUAACGCCCGGAAACGGGUGCUAAUACUGGAUAUUCACUGGCCUUCGCAUGGGGGUUGGUGGAAAGGUUUGUUCUGGUGGGGGAUGGGCUCGCGGCCUAUCAGCUUGUUGGUGGGGUGAUGGCCUACCAAGGCUUUGACGGGUAGCCGGCCUGAGAGGGUGACCGGUCACAUUGGGACUGAGAUACGGCCCAGACUCCUACGGGAGGCAGCAGUGGGGAAUAGUGCACAAUGGGCGAAAGCCUGAUGCAGCGACGCCGCGUGAGGGAUGGAGGCCUUCGGGUUGGAAACCUCUUUCGCUCAUGGUCAAGCCGCAACUGUGGGUUGUGGUGAGGGUAGUGGGUAAAGAAGCGCCGGCUAACUACGUG
This 486-nucleotide ribosomal RNA is filed under the name uncultured bacterium. RNAcentral describes it as "partial 16S ribosomal RNA". It matches the Rfam family "Bacterial small subunit ribosomal RNA", at positions 28 to 507 of the family's 1533-position model. The record is from RNAcentral.